UACGUAGGGCGCGAGCGUUGUCCGGAAUUAUUGGGCGUAAAGAGCUCGUAGGCGGCCUGUUGCGUCCGCUGUGAAAUCCCGGGGCUCAACCUCGGGCCUGCAGUGGGUACGGGCAGACUAGAGUGCGGUAGGGGAGAAUGGAAUUCCUGGUGUAGCGGUGGAAUACGCAGAUAUCAGGAGGAACACCGAUGGCGAAGGCAGUUCUCUGGGCCGUAACUGACGCUGAGGAGCGAAAGCGUGGGGAGCGAACAGG
This 253-nucleotide ribosomal RNA is filed under the name uncultured bacterium. RNAcentral describes it as "partial 16S ribosomal RNA". It matches the Rfam family "Bacterial small subunit ribosomal RNA", at positions 524 to 776 of the family's 1533-position model. The record is from RNAcentral.